AUAUUGCACAAUGGGGGAAACCCUGAUGCAGCGACGCCGCGUGGGUGAAGAAGUUGUUCGGAAUGUAAAGCCCUAUCAGCAGGGAAGAAAAUGACGGUACCUGACUAAGAAGCACCGGCUAACUACGUGCCAGCAGCCGCGGUAAUCCGUAGGGGGCGAGCGUUAUCCGGAUUUACUGGGUGUAAAGGGAGCGUAGACGGUAUGGCAAGUCUGAAGUGAAAUCAUGGAGCUCAACUCCGUAAUUGCUUUGGAAACUGUCAAACUCGAGUGCCGGAGGGGCAGGCGGAAUUCCUGGUGUAGCGGUGAAAUGCGUAGAUAUCAGGAAGAACACCGGUGGCGAAGGCGGCCUGCUGGACGGUAACUGACGUUGAGGCUCGAAAGCGUGGGGAGCAAAC
This 395-nucleotide ribosomal RNA is filed under the name uncultured bacterium. RNAcentral's name for it is "partial 16S ribosomal RNA". It matches the Rfam family "Bacterial small subunit ribosomal RNA", at positions 361 to 773 of the family's 1533-position model. The record is from RNAcentral.